This 508-nucleotide ribosomal RNA is filed under the name uncultured bacterium. RNAcentral's name for it is "partial 16S ribosomal RNA". It matches the Rfam family "Bacterial small subunit ribosomal RNA", at positions 28 to 523 of the family's 1533-position model. The record is from RNAcentral.
GAUGAACGCUAGCUACAGGCUUAACACAUGCAAGUCGAGGGGAAACGAUAGAGAAAGCUUGCUUUUUCUAGGCGUCGACCGGCGCACGGGUGAGUAACGCGUAUCCAACCUGCCCACCACUUGGGGAUAACCUUGCGGAAGUAAGACCAAUACCCAAUGAUAUCUCAAGAAGACAUCUGAAUGAGAUUAAAGAUUUAUCGGUGAUGGAUGGGGAUACGUCUGAUUAGCUUGUUGGCGGGGUAACGGCCCACCAAGGCGACGAUCAGUAGGGGUUCUGAGAGGAAGGUCCCCCACAUUGGAACUGAGACACGGUCCAAACUCCUACGGGAGGCAGCAGUGAGGAAUAUUGGUCAAUGGGCGAGAGCCUGAACCAGCCAAGUAGCGUGCAUGAUGACGGCCCUAUGGGUUGUAAACUGCUUCUAUAAGGGAAUAAAGUGAGUCUCGCGAGGCUUUUUGCAUGUACCUUAUGAAUAAGGACCGGCUAAUUCCGUGCCAGCCGCCGCCGUAA